GUGGCUCAGUGGUAGAAUGCUCGCCUGCCACGCGGGCGGCCCGUGUUCAAUUCCCGGCCA
Molecule: transfer RNA, 60 nt
Filed under: Cordylochernes scorpioides
Lineage: Eukaryota; Metazoa; Arthropoda; Arachnida; Pseudoscorpiones; Chernetidae
Description: tRNA-Gly
Source: RNAcentral